GGGAUGCUGACCAUGGUGAUACCGUCCAAUUUACGAGAUAAGGAGACACUAUAAAUCAAACUAUUUAAUGCCUUAUUUCAUUUUAUUGCCAUCAUCUUAGAGUACAAAAUCAUAAUUUUAUGAUCCACAACAUUAGGAAAAAAGAAAAAAAAUAAUACAAUUAUUUGGUGCAUGCAUAAAAACUAAAUGAGAACUCCGCGAGUAUUCUAGCAUAGAGUAUAUUGUACAAUUCUUUAUCUAGAGUAUGAACUCCAAGUUCUCUUCACACUCUGCAUACAAUAGCCUUUACGACACCUAGCUAUAUAACCUUUCACUUGUUUACAAUCUUUAUCUGUUGUACAAGGACCAGAAUUAGGUACAAAAGCAGAAUCACAUACUAUUAUGACAAGAAAUAUAAAAAGAAGUAAAAUAAUAACAUAAAUAAACUUCACAUUUUUAGCCA
Molecule: long non-coding RNA, 442 nt
Filed under: Medicago truncatula (barrel medic)
Lineage: Eukaryota; Viridiplantae; Streptophyta; Magnoliopsida; Fabales; Fabaceae
Description: lncRNA gene38255
Source: RNAcentral